This 752-nucleotide ribosomal RNA is filed under the name Bacillus subtilis. RNAcentral's name for it is "bacterial SSU rRNA". It matches the Rfam family "Bacterial small subunit ribosomal RNA", at positions 46 to 781 of the family's 1533-position model. Lineage: Bacteria; Bacillati; Bacillota; Bacilli; Caryophanales; Bacillaceae. The record is from RNAcentral.
GCUAAUACAUGCAAGUCGAGCGGACAGAUGGGAGCUUGCUCCCUGAUGUUAGCGGCGGACGGGUGAGUAACACGUGGGUAACCUGCCUGUAAGACUGGGAUAACUCCGGGAAACCGGGGCUAAUACCGGAUGGUUGUUUGAACCGCAUGGUUCAAACAUAAAAGGUGGCUUCGGCUACCACUUACAGAUGGACCCGCGGCGCAUUAGCUAGUUGGUGAGGUAACGGCUCACCAAGGCAACGAUGCGUAGCCGACCUGAGAGGGUGAUCGGCCACACUGGGACUGAGACACGGCCCAGACUCCUACGGGAGGCAGCAGUAGGGAAUCUUCCGCAAUGGACGAAAGUCUGACGGAGCAACGCCGCGUGAGUGAUGAAGGUUUUCGGAUCGUAAAGCUCUGUUGUUAGGGAAGAACAAGUACCGUUCGAAUAGGGCGGUACCUUGACGGUACCUAACCAGAAAGCCACGGCUAACUACGUGCCAGCAGCCGCGGUAAUACGUAGGUGGCAAGCGUUGUCCGGAAUUAUUGGGCGUAAAGGGCUCGCAGGCGGUUUCUUAAGUCUGAUGUGAAAGCCCCCGGCUCAACCGGGGAGGGUCAUUGGAAACUGGGGAACUUGAGUGCAGAAGAGGAGAGUGGAAUUCCACGUGUAGCGGUGAAAUGCGUAGAGAUGUGGAGGAACACCAGUGGCGAAGGCGACUCUCUGGUCUGUAACUGACGCUGAGGAGCGAAAGCGUGGGGAGCGAACAGGAUUAG